Xiphophorus maculatus (southern platyfish) is the source of this 74-nucleotide non-coding RNA. The record is from Rfam. NCBI's taxonomy places the organism in Eukaryota, Metazoa, Chordata, Actinopteri, Cyprinodontiformes, Poeciliidae.
CUGUAUACACCCUGUAGAUCCGAAUUUGUGUAAACAUAACUAGUCACAAAUUCCCAUCUUGGGGAGCAUGCAGG